UACGUAGGUGGCAAGCGUUGUCCGGAUUUAUUGGGCGUAAAGCGAGCGCAGGCGGUUCCUUAAGUCUGAUGUGAAAGCCCACGGCUCAACCUUGGAAGGUCAUUGGAAACUGGGGAACUUGAGUGCAGAAGAGGAGAGCGGAAUUCCAUGUGUAGCGGUGAAAUGCGUAGAUAUUAGGAAGAACACCAGUGGCGAAGGCGAUUCUCUGGACUGUAACUGAGGCUGAGGCUCGAAAGCGUGGGGAGCAAACAGGAUUAGAUA
Molecule: ribosomal RNA, 261 nt
Filed under: uncultured prokaryote
Description: partial 16S ribosomal RNA
Rfam family: Bacterial small subunit ribosomal RNA
Source: RNAcentral